GGCGGCGUGCCUAAUACAUGCAAGUCGAACGAGUUCUGAUUAUUGAAAGGUGCUUGCAUCUUGAUUUAAUUUUGAACGAGUGGCGGACGGGUGAGUAACACGUGGGUAACCUGCCCUUAAGUGGGGGAUAACAUUUGGAAACAGAUGCUAAUACCGCAUAAAUCCAAGAACCGCAUGGUUCUUGGCUGAAAGAUGGCGUAAGCUAUCGCUUUUGGAUGGACCCGCGGCGUAUUAGCUAGUUGGUGAGGUAACGGCUCACCAAGGCAAUGAUACGUAGCCGAACUGAGAGGUUGAUCGGCCACAUUGGGACUGAGACACGGCCCAAACUCCUACGGGAGGCAGCAGUAGGGGAUCUUCCACAAUGGACGCAAGUCUGAUGGAGCAACGCCGCGUGAGUGAAGAAGGCUUUCGGGUCGUAAAACUCUGUUGUUGGAGAAGAAUGGUCGGCAGAGUAACUGUUGUCGGCGUGACGGUAUCCAACCAGAAAGCCACGGCUAACUACGUGCCAGCAGCCGCGGUAAUACGUAGGUGGCAAGCGUUAUCCGGAUUUAUUGGGCGUAAAGCGAGCGCAGGCGGUUUUUUAAGUCUGAUGUGAAAGCCCUCGGCUUAACCGAGGAAGUGCAUCGGAAACUGGGAAACUUGAGUGCAGAAGAGGACAGUGGAACUCCAUGUGUAGCGGUGAAAUGCGUAGAUAUAUGGAAGAACACCAGUGGCGAAGGCGGCUGUCUGGUCUGUAACUGACGCUGAGGCUCGAAAGCAUGGGUAGCGAACAGGAUUAGAUACCCUGGUAGUCCAUGCCGUAAACGAUGAAUGCUAGGUGUUGGAGGGUUUCCGCCCUUCAGUGCCGCAGCUAACGCAUUAAGCAUUCCGCCUGGGGAGUACGACCGCAAGGUUGAAACUCAAAGGAAUUGACGGGGGCCCGCACAAGCGGUGGAGCAUGUGGUUUAAUUCGAAGCAACGUGAAGAACCUUACCAGGUCUUGACAUCUUUUGAUCACCUGAGAGAUCAGGUUUCCCCUUCGGGGGCAAAAUGGCAGGUGGUGCAUGGUUGUCGUCAGCUCGUGUCGUGAGAUGUUGGGUUAAGUCCCGCAACGAGCGCAACCCUUAUGACUAGUUGCCAGCAUUUAGUUGGGCACUCUAGUAAGACUGCCGGUGACAAACCGGAGGAAGGUGGGGAUGACGUCAAAUCAUCAUGCCCCUUAUGACCUGGGCUACACACGUGCUACAAUGGAUGGUACAACGAGUUGCGAGACCGCGAGGUCAAGCUAAUCUCUUAAAGCCAUUCUCAGUUCGGACUGUAGGCUGCAACUCGCCUACACGAAGUCGGAAUCGCUAGUAAUCGCGGAUCAGCACGCCGCGGUGAAUACGUUCCCGGGCCUUGUACACACCGCCCGUCACACCAUGAGAGUUUGUAACACCCGAAGCCGGUGGCGUAACCCUUUUAGGGAGCGAGCCGUCUAAGGUGGGACAAAUGAUUAGGGUG
Molecule: ribosomal RNA, 1482 nt
Filed under: uncultured organism
Description: SSU rRNA
Rfam family: Bacterial small subunit ribosomal RNA
Source: RNAcentral